Molecule: unclassified non-coding RNA, 251 nt
Filed under: plant metagenome
Description: partial contains small subunit ribosomal RNA, internal transcribed spacer 1, and 5.8S ribosomal RNA
Source: RNAcentral
GGAAGUAAAAUGUAACAAGGUCUCCGUUGGUGAACCAGCGGAGGGAUCAUUACAGAGUUGCAAAACUCCCAAACCAUUGUGAACGUUACCUAUCCCGUUGCUUCGGCGGGCGGCCCGGGCCCCGCGCCCGGCGCCCCCCGGCCCCCCGUGGGCGCCCGCCGGAGGUAAACCAAACCCUUGAAUUGCAUGGCCUCUCUGAGUCUUCUGUACUGAAUAAGUCAAAACUUUCAACAACGGAUCUCUUGGUUCUG